This is a long non-coding RNA of Hypanus sabinus (Atlantic stingray), 1491 nucleotides long. RefSeq lists it as uncharacterized. The record is from RefSeq and is a predicted model, not a curated record. Lineage: Eukaryota; Metazoa; Chordata; Chondrichthyes; Myliobatiformes; Dasyatidae. The transcript has 4 exons.
CUAAAUAUGAGUAUCAUCUGUUUCCUGCAUUUCCUGACGUUUUCCAGUUUGGGGUCUAAUUUCAAAAACAUGUAAAUCAAAAUAGUGUCUGAACUGCUAACAGUGAUUUUAGAAGCUCCUGUUAGGAGCUUCAGCCUGAAAUGUUGACUGUUUACACUUUUCCUAGAUGUUGCCUGGCCUGCUGAGUUCCUCCAGCAUUUUGUUUGUGUUGCUCGGUAUUUUCAAUAUUAUUUCUUAAUCAUUCUACCACAUGACUUGUUUUAUUUUCUUCUAUUGCAUACUCUCAUGAGACAAGCCAGCUGCUCUAAUUCCCCAGGAACAAUGAUUAGUUGAUGCUAAUCCUUCCUCCUGACAUGAUCUGAAGAAGAAAAGAUGGUCCAUGGUGGGCUUCAAGUGCAAGGUUGACAGCUGGCUGACGUUAUUUUUGGUUUGCUGCUGGCGGCAAAUUUAAGUUUGGCGUUUUUCAUAAAUACAAGAAGGACUCAAAUAGACAACUGGUAUUGAUAGGACUGAUCAAUGUACAGACCUUGUGAAGACCUCUCUCAUACAACAUAAUAUUGCGGAGGAAUAUAUUCAGAACAGAUCUGACAGCACGAAGUUGGACCUCCCAGAGCUCAGAAUCUGCUCGGUGGUGGGUCUCAGCGUUAUGGAUUCAAGAUUCAAGAUUAUUUAUUACCAUUCUUCAGUACACGAGGGUAAAGGAGAACAAAAUGAUUGUAUCCCAGAUCCAACGCUUAAUUUUUAAAAAACACAAUAAGCAUAAAAACAAAAUAAAAGCAUCUUCAAAAACAUAAAGUGUUGAGUGUGGCCAUCCCUUCAUAAGGUUAGCUUACAUACGUUGACUGACUGCAUGUACAUAAAUUGACGCUAGAUGCAGGAGUAUCUGUACAUAAGGUGACUGACAAGAAAGAAUAAAGUGACAAAGUGACUCUUGGCAAGAGGGACUCUUCUGGGAAGCAGCAGGGCAUGGAGGCCAAUAUAUCUGACCUCUCAAACCACUGCUAGACUCAUCACUGAGUGUGCAGAAACCUCCUGAGUUCAGAGAAUCUGGCUGAGUGGUGCCACAACGACCUCUCACUCAACACAAAUGAGGUAACACAAGUGUCCAGAUGAAGAUUCACAAGAAUGAUUCCAGAAAUGGAAGGGUUAUCAUAUGAGGAACAUCUGGCAGCCCUUGGGUUAUCUUCCCUGGAAUUCAGGAGAAUAAGGAAGGAUCUCAUAGAAACAUUCUGAAUGUUAAAAGGCUGAACAGAUUAGAUAUGGCAAAGUUAUUUCCCAUGGUAGGGGAGUCUAGGACAAGAGGGCAUGAUUUCAGGAUUGAAGGAUAUCAAUUUAGAACAGAGAUGCAGAGAAAUUACUUUAGUCAGAGGGUGGUAAAUCUGUGGAAUUUGUUGCCACCAGGGGCUGUGGAUGCCUGGUCAUUGGGUGCAUAUAAGGCAGGGAUAGAUAGGUUCUUGAUUAGCCAGGGCGUCAAAGGGAGAAGGCAGGAGA